UGGAUCUCACUGCUGGCUUCUAAAAGGGCAGUCAAAUCGUUGGGUGGAUUCUUCAGAAUGAGGCGUGAAAUGCUCUCGGGUGAAAUCAACCGGCACACAGGCGUGUUAACCGACAAUUUUCUCUUAUAAUGCAGGAAAGUGGAAGCAAAAUUCUCAGGAACGCCUUGUCAUUCAACACAAGAUUUUAAAGGUUAAUUAUGAGAAAAUGCGUUGGCACACAAUGAGUGUGGCUUUAAAAAUGCCACAAUUUGAUCCGAAAGGGGGUUUGAUGGACAGCAACCUGAAAUUAUCGUUGAUCACCACGGUAUGCGCUUUGCUUAUGAUUAUUGCUUUCAGCUUCACCGCAGUGAUGAACUGAUUC
This 361-nucleotide small RNA is filed under the name Rahnella aquatilis CIP 78.65 = ATCC 33071. RNAcentral describes it as "Enterobacterial sRNA STnc550". It matches the Rfam family "Enterobacterial sRNA STnc550". The record is from Rfam by way of RNAcentral. Lineage: Bacteria; Pseudomonadati; Pseudomonadota; Gammaproteobacteria; Enterobacterales; Yersiniaceae.